Molecule: non-coding RNA, 26 nt
Filed under: Rattus norvegicus (Norway rat)
Lineage: Eukaryota; Metazoa; Chordata; Mammalia; Rodentia; Muridae
Source: RNAcentral
GACAUAGACUGCGGCAUUGUGAAGGU